UACGGAGGAUCCAAGCGUUAUCCGGAUUUAUUGGGUUUAAAGGGUGCGUAGGCGGCCUAUUAAGUCAGGGGUGAAAGACGGUAGCUUAACUAUCGCAGUGCCCUUGAUACUGAUGGGCUUGAAUAUACUAGAGGUAGGCGGAAUGUGACAAGUAGCGGUGAAAUGCAUAGAUAUGUCACAGAACACCAAUUGCGAAGGCAGCUUACUAUGGUAUUAUUGACGCUGAGGCACGAAAGCGUGGGGAUCAAACAGG
Molecule: ribosomal RNA, 253 nt
Filed under: uncultured bacterium
Lineage: Bacteria
Description: partial 16S ribosomal RNA
Rfam family: Bacterial small subunit ribosomal RNA
Source: RNAcentral